This 523-nucleotide unclassified non-coding RNA is filed under the name Hevea brasiliensis (rubber tree). Lineage: Eukaryota; Viridiplantae; Streptophyta; Magnoliopsida; Malpighiales; Euphorbiaceae. The record is from RNAcentral.
AUACAAUGGAAGAUGAUUGUCUACAAAUAUGUUUUGAUUUUAUUAGAUGCUAACCAUAGCAGAAUCAGUUUCAACUGGAGAAGAAAUUUGCCUAAAAUUCUGCUCCAUUUAUUUUCGACUGUUUUGGGAGCUGACCUGGCCAAAAUUAGUUAUCUUGUCAUGAUUUAUCACUCUAAUUUAGAUGAAGUCGGAUACGGUGGACAUUAUAUGAUAUCAUGUGCUAACCUAUGUUUUGGUCUUAGUCAUCUUUUAGAAGGUUAAUUAGCAAUGCUGUUCUAGUAAACUUGUGAAUUAAUCAUCACACUUGUACCAAAUAAUAGCCAGUCUUACUCAUUAUGCCUUGAUCUGCAACUGAAUAGCAAUUGAUCCGUGUGAUGUGCACACUAGUUAGAAAAACUUUUAUUUUGUUGUAAUCUUAUUGAAAUUUGAAAAAUAACCUCAUCUAACUAGAAAUAACCCUUAGGAUACCCAGAAUAUUAUUGAAAAUUCAGCUAUUCUGCAGGUACCCGGUGUCCCUCUCAUA